AAAUUGAAGAGUUUGAUCAUGGCUCAGAUUGAACGCUGGCGGCAGGCCUAACACAUGCAAGUCGAGCGGUAGCACAGAGAGCUUGCUCUCGGGUGACGAGCGGCGGACGGGUGAGUAAUGUCUGGGAAACUGCCUGAUGGAGGGGGAUAACUACUGGAAACGGUAGCUAAUACCGCAUAAUGUCGCAAGACCAAAGUGGGGGACCUUCGGGCCUCAUGCCAUCAGAUGUGCCCAGAUGGGAUUAGCUAGUAGGUGGGGUAACGGCUCACCUAGGCGACGAUCCCUAGCUGGUCUGAGAGGAUGACCAGCCACACUGGAACUGAGACACGGUCCAGACUCCUACGGGAGGCAGCAGUGGGGAAUAUUGCACAAUGGGCGCAAGCCUGAUGCAGCCAUGCCGCGUGUGUGAAGAAGGCCUUCGGGUUGUAAAGCACUUUCAGCGGGGAGGAAGGCGUUAAGGUUAAUAACCUUGGCGAUUGACGUUACCCGCAGAAGAAGCACCGGCUAACUCCGUGCCAGCAGCCGCGGUAAUACGGAGGGUGCAAGCGUUAAUCGGAAUUACUGGGCGUAAAGCGCACGCAGGCGGUCUGUCAAGUCGGAUGUGAAAUCCCCGGGCUCAACCUGGGAACUGCAUUCGAAACUGGCAGGCUAGAGUCUUGUAGAGGGGGGUAGAAUUCCAGGUGUAGCGGUGAAAUGCGUAGAGAUCUGGAGGAAUACCGGUGGCGAAGGCGGCCCCCUGGACAAAGACUGACGCUCAGGUGCGAAAGCGUGGGGAGCAAACAGGAUUAGAUACCCUGGUAGUCCACGCCGUAAACGAUGUCGAUUUGGAGGUUGUGCCCUUGAGGCGUGGCUUCCGGAGCUAACGCGUUAAAUCGACCGCCUGGGGAGUACGGCCGCAAGGUUAAAACUCAAAUGAAUUGACGGGGGCCCGCACAAGCGGUGGAGCAUGUGGUUUAAUUCGAUGCAACGCGAAGAACCUUACCUGGUCUUGACAUCCACAGAACUUUCCAGAGAUGGAUUGGUGCCUUCGGGAACUGUGAGACAGGUGCUGCAUGGCUGUCGUCAGCUCGUGUUGUGAAAUGUUGGGUUAAGUCCCGCAACGAGCGCAACCCUUAUCCUUUGUUGCCAGCGGUCCGGCCGGGAACUCAAAGGAGACUGCCAGUGAUAAACUGGAGGAAGGUGGGGAUGACGUCAAGUCAUCAUGGCCCUUACGACCAGGGCUACACACGUGCUACAAUGGCAUAUACAAAGAGAAGCGACCUCGCGAGAGCAAGCGGACCUCAUAAAGUAUGUCGUAGUCCGGAUUGGAGUCUGCAACUCGACUCCAUGAAGUCGGAAUCGCUAGUAAUCGUAGAUCAGAAUGCUACGGUGAAUACGUUCCCGGGCCUUGUACACACCGCCCGUCACACCAUGGGAGUGGGUUGCAAAAGAAGUAGGUAGCUUAACCUUCGGGAGGGCGCUUACCACUUUGUGAUUCAUGACUGGGGUGAAGUCGUAACAAGGUAACCGUAGGGGAACCUGCGGUUG
This 1527-nucleotide ribosomal RNA is filed under the name Klebsiella pneumoniae. Its description in RNAcentral is "bacterial SSU rRNA". It matches the Rfam family "Bacterial small subunit ribosomal RNA". The record is from RNAcentral. Lineage: Bacteria; Pseudomonadati; Pseudomonadota; Gammaproteobacteria; Enterobacterales; Enterobacteriaceae.